UAGGGAAUAUUGGGCAAUGGAGGCAACUCUGACCCAGCCAUCCCGCGUGCAGGAUGAAGGAUCUAUGGUUCGUAAACUGCUUUUGUUAGGGAAGAAAAAGACUCAUUUAUGAGUAACUGACGGUACCUAACGAAUAAGCACCGGCUAACUCCGUGCCAGCAGCCGCGGUAAUACGGAGGGUGCAAGCGUUAUCCGGAUUCACUGGGUUUAAAGGGUGCGUAGGCGGCUAUAUAAGUCAGUGGUGAAAGCCCGCAGCUCAACUGCGGAAUUGCCAUUGAAACUGCAUAGCUUGAAUCUGGUUGAAGUGGGCGGAAUACAUCAUGUAGCGGUGAAAUGCUUAGAUAUGAUGUAGAACACCGAUUGCGAAGGCAGCUCACUAAGCCAACAUUGACGCUGAGGCACGAAAGCGUGGGUAGCGAACAGG
RNAcentral lists this ribosomal RNA (424 nucleotides) under uncultured bacterium. Its description in RNAcentral is "bacterial SSU rRNA". It matches the Rfam family "Bacterial small subunit ribosomal RNA", at positions 355 to 776 of the family's 1533-position model. The record is from RNAcentral.